CCUACGAGAGGCAGCAGUGGGGAAUAUUGCACAAUGGGGGGAACCCUGAUGCAGCGACGCCGCGUGAGCGAAGAAGGUUUUCGAAUCGUACAGCUCUGUCCUAUGAGAAGAUAAUGACGGUAUCAUAGGAGGAAGCCCCGGCCAAAUACGUGCCAGCAGCCGCGGUAAUACGUAUGGGGCGAGGGUUGUCCGGAAUUAUUGGGCGUAAAGGGUACGGAGGCGGUUUUUUAAGUCAGGUGGGAAAGCGUGAGGCUUAACCUCAUUAAGCACUUGGAACUGGAAGACUUGAGUGAAGGAGAGGAAAGUGGAAUUCCUAGUGUAGCGGUGAAAUGCGUAGAUAUUAGGAGGAAUACCGGUGGCGAAGGCGACUUUCUGGACUUUUACUGACGCUCAGGUACGAAAGCGUGGGGAGCAAACAGGAUUAGAUACCCCUGUAGUC
Molecule: ribosomal RNA, 439 nt
Filed under: uncultured Parvimonas sp.
Lineage: Bacteria; Bacillati; Bacillota; Tissierellia; Tissierellales; Peptoniphilaceae
Description: bacterial SSU rRNA
Rfam family: Bacterial small subunit ribosomal RNA
Source: RNAcentral